RNAcentral lists this long non-coding RNA (219 nucleotides) under Hordeum vulgare. RNAcentral describes it as "long non-coding RNA (HVUL_LNC015845)". The record is from RNAcentral. Lineage: Eukaryota; Viridiplantae; Streptophyta; Magnoliopsida; Poales; Poaceae.
AUCAUUUUUGAAACUGCUCUUAAACCAUGAGUAAUCUUGAAAAGUGUUCAACAUGGAGAAAGUGUGAAUAGUCCAUAGCUAUCCAACAGUGUAUUAUGUGUCUCAUUCUGACAAAUGUUUUAGAAACUGGAGCAAAAACAGUACCAAAAUAACGUGUGUAGUUAUUAGCAUAAUAGUUAUUCUGCCAACACUUACGAACCUUCGCCGGAAGCUAAAAGA